GACGAACGCUGGCGGCGUGCGUAAUACAUGCAAGUAGAACGCUGAGGUUUGGUGUUUACACUAGACUGAUGAGUUGCGAACGGGUGAGUAACGCGUAGGUAACCUGCCUCAUAGCGGGGGAUAACUAUUGGAAACGAUAGCUAAUACCGCAUAAGAGUAAUUAACACAUGUUAGUUAUUUAAAAGGAGCAAUUGCUUCACUGUGAGAUGGACCUGCGUUGUAUUAGUUAGUUGGUGAGGUAAAGGCUCACCAAGGCGACGAUACAUAGCCGACCUGAGAGGGUGAUCGGCCACACUGGGACUGAGAUACGGCCCAGACUCCUACGGGAGGCAGCAGUAAGGAAUUUUCCACAAUGAGCGAAAGCUUGAUGGAGCGACACAGCGUGCAGGAUGAAGUUCUUCGGAAUGUAAACUGCUGUUAUAAGGGAAGAAAAAAUAGAAUAGGAAAUGAUUUUAUCUUGACGGGGUACCUUAUUAGAAAGCGACGGCAAACUAUGUGCCAGCAGCUGCGGUAAUACAUAGGUCGCAAGCGUUAUCCGGAAUUAUUGGGCGUAAAGCGUCCGUAGGUUUUUUGCUAAGUCUGGAGUUAAAUGCUGAAGCUCAACUUCAGUCCGCUUUGGAUACUGGCAAAAUAGAAUUAUAAAGAGGUUAGCGGAAUUCCUAGUGAAGCGGUGGAAUGCGUAGAUAUUAGGAAGAACACCAAUAGGCGAAGGCAGCUAACUGGUUAUAUAUUGACACUAAGGGACGAAAGCGUGGGGAGCAAACAGG
Molecule: ribosomal RNA, 767 nt
Filed under: uncultured Corynebacterium sp.
Lineage: Bacteria; Bacillati; Actinomycetota; Actinomycetes; Mycobacteriales; Corynebacteriaceae
Description: bacterial SSU rRNA
Rfam family: Bacterial small subunit ribosomal RNA
Source: RNAcentral